RNAcentral lists this ribosomal RNA (819 nucleotides) under Vittaforma corneae. RNAcentral describes it as "SSU rRNA". It matches the Rfam family "Microsporidia small subunit ribosomal RNA", at positions 297 to 1159 of the family's 1311-position model. The record is from RNAcentral. Lineage: Eukaryota; Fungi; Microsporidia; Nosematidae.
AAAUUGCCCACUCUUUGCAGGAGGCAGUUUUGAGACGUGAAGAUGAGUAUCUUGUAAAGAGGGAUAGGAGAAUUGGAGGGCAAGUUUGGUGCCAGCAGCCGCGGUAAUACCGACUCCAAGAGUGUGUAUGAGAGAUGCUGCAGUUAAAAAGUCCGUAGUCAUAGAAGGGCAAAGAGAGAUGCGAGGUCUCACAGUGCGAUGAUGGAGGAGCCGAUGGGGAACAUAGUAUACCAGGGCGAGAGAUGAAAUGCCAAGACCCCUGGUGGACUGAGCGAGGCGAAGGCGAUGUUCUUGUAGGCAUUCGGUGAUCAAGGACGAAGGCUGGAGUAUCGAAAGUGAUUAGAUACCGCAGUAGUUCCAGCAGUAAAAGAUGCCGACAUGCUCAUUGGACACAGUGGGCAGGGAGAAAUCUUAGAGUUCGGGCUCUGGGGAUAGUAUGCUCGCAAGGGUGAAAAUUAAAGAAAUUGACGGAGCUACACCACAAGGAGUGGAUUGUGCGGCUUAAUUUGACUCAACGCGAGGAAACUUACCAGGGCCAAGUAUUGUGUAGAAACGAGCAAUACAGGAGUGGUGCAUGGUCGUUGGAAAUUGAUGGGAUGACUUUGACCUUAAAUGGUUGAAUGAGUGAGAUCUUUUGGACAUGUUCCGCACGGAACAGGAAGGAAAAGGCUAUAACAGAUCCGAGAUGCCCUCAGAUGCCCUGGGCUGCACGCGCAAUACAAUAGCAGGUAGAGAGAGAGACAGGAAGGUGCUCAGAUGGACUAUGUGCUGUAAGGCACAUACGAAAGAGGAAUUCCUAGUAAGUGUGUAUCAACAAUG